AUUGAACGCUGGCGGCAGUCCUAACACAUGCAAGUCGAGCGGAUGAAGGGAGCUUGCUCCUGGAUUCAGCGGCGGACGGGUGAGUAAUGCCUAGGAAUCUGCCUGGUAGUGGGGGAUAACGUCCGGAAACGGGCGCUAAUACCGCAUACGUCCUGAGGGAGAAAGUGGGGGAUCUUCGGACCUCACGCUAUCAGAUGAGCCUAGGUCGGAUUAGCUAGUUGGUGGGGUAAAGGCCUACCAAGGCGACGAUCCGUAACUGGUCUGAGAGGAUGAUCAGUCACACUGGAACUGAGACACGGUCCAGACUCCUACGGGAGGCAGCAGUGGGGAAUAUUGGACAAUGGGCGAAAGCCUGAUCCAGCCAUGCCGCGUGUGUGAAGAAGGUCUUCGGAUUGUAAAGCACUUUAAGUUGGGAGGAAGGGCAGUAAGUUAAUACCUUGCUGUUUUGACGUUACCAACAGAAUAAGCACCGGCUAACUUCGUG
This 484-nucleotide ribosomal RNA is filed under the name uncultured bacterium. RNAcentral's name for it is "partial 16S ribosomal RNA". It matches the Rfam family "Bacterial small subunit ribosomal RNA", at positions 30 to 507 of the family's 1533-position model. The record is from RNAcentral.